Molecule: long non-coding RNA, 366 nt
Filed under: Bos taurus (domestic cattle)
Lineage: Eukaryota; Metazoa; Chordata; Mammalia; Artiodactyla; Bovidae
Description: long non-coding RNA NONBTAT015791
Source: RNAcentral
CUUGCACUUUAGGGGGAAUGUGUACAACAGAAUCAGGGAGAGCCAGUCACUAAACACUUUUGACCAUCACAAUCCCUGGUGGGUGGGACCUUUUCAAAACUGCUAUUUGAUAUAUUACAUAGGUAAGAAUUAAUCCACAGUGAUUUUGCCCAUUUCUUAGAGAGUAUGUUCAUAGCUUAAAUCUAUGUUUUUUGAGCACAUAUUUUAUAUAACAACAGACACAUAUACUAUUAGCUUUGAUUAAAAAUGUUCAUCCCAUCGCCCCUGAUAUUUCUGGAAGGCAGGAAACAGGUUUUCUUGAAGUGUCUUUGUUUUCCACCCUCAACCCCCAACUGUCUUAAUACAAUAAAUGUGGAAUAAAAGAUG